Molecule: ribosomal RNA, 404 nt
Filed under: uncultured prokaryote
Also listed under: 1 other name
Description: bacterial SSU rRNA
Rfam family: Bacterial small subunit ribosomal RNA
Source: RNAcentral
UGGGGGAUCUUGCACAAUGGAGGCAACUCUGAUGCAGCGACGCCGCGUGAGUGAAGACGGUCUUCGGAUUGUAAAGCUCUGUCAACGGGGACGAUAAUGACGGUACCCGUGGAGGAAGCCACGGCUAACUACGUGCCAGCAGCCGCGGUAAUACGUAGGUGGCAAGCGUUGUCCGGAAUUACUGGGUGUAAAGGGAGUGUAGGCGGGAUAUCAAGUUGGAUGUGAAAUACCGAGGCUUAACCUCGGGGCUGCAUCCGAAACUGGUAUUCUUGAGUGAAGUAGAGGCAGGCGGAAUUCCUAGUGUAGCGGUGAAAUGCGUAGAUAUUAGGAGGAACACCAGUGGCGAAGGCGGCUUGCUGGGCUUUUACUGACGCUGAGGCUCGAAAGCGUGGGGAGCAAACAGG